UUGAUUCUAAUCUGAUCAACAUUGAAACUAUUAAGCUGCAGACUCAAUAAACAAUUAGUCUAAGUUUUCCAAGCAUGCAUUUCAAUACAACGAACCUUAAUGUAGUUUUAUUAAAUGAAACUUGAUUAAAACAACUUGAAUAUACUUGCAACUAAAGGAUGCGCAGAUAAGAGUUAAGCAAGCAAUUCAAUUAGACAAUUAUCUAAGUAAGUAAGUGUGGAAAUUAAACAAAGAAGCAUCACAAACACAACAAAAGUAUAGUGGUUCGGUGCCAAUUGCACCUACAUCCACUCCUCAAGCUNNNNNNNNNNNNNNNNNNNNAACUUGAAUAUACUUGCAACUAAAGGAUGCGCAGAUAAGAGUUAAGCAAGCAAUUCAAUUAGACAAUUAUCUAAGUAAGUAAGUGUGGAAAUUAAACAAAGAAGCAUCACAAACACAACAAAAGUAUAGUGGUUCGGUGCCAAUUGCACCUACAUCCACUCCUCAAGCUCUCUUGGAAAUUCCACUAUAAUCCUAAGACUACAAU
This 526-nucleotide long non-coding RNA is filed under the name Phoenix dactylifera (date palm). RNAcentral's name for it is "long non-coding RNA (PDAC_LNC008931)". The record is from RNAcentral. Lineage: Eukaryota; Viridiplantae; Streptophyta; Magnoliopsida; Arecales; Arecaceae.